GGCAAGAUGGCCGAGCGGUCCAAGGCGCUAGCUUCAGGUUAUUUGUGUUUAUCGACGGUGGCCAAUUUGCUAGUCUCUUCGGGGGCGUGGGUUCGAAUCCCACUCUUGUCA
This is a transfer RNA of Neolentinus lepideus HHB14362 ss-1, 111 nucleotides long. It matches the Rfam family "tRNA". From Rfam's summary of the family: Transfer RNA (tRNA) molecules are approximately 80 nucleotides in length. Their secondary structure includes four short double-helical elements and three loops (D, anti-codon, and T loops). NCBI's taxonomy places the organism in Eukaryota, Fungi, Basidiomycota, Agaricomycetes, Gloeophyllales, Gloeophyllaceae. The record is from Rfam.